This 1216-nucleotide long non-coding RNA is filed under the name Chrysemys picta bellii (western painted turtle). Its description in RNAcentral is "lncRNA (ENSCPBG00000017222.1)". Lineage: Eukaryota; Metazoa; Chordata; Testudines; Emydidae. The record is from RNAcentral.
UUCCAUCAACGAGUCAGGCCCCGGCACCUAGCACCUCGGUGCGCAGUGCCCCGGCGGCACCGGCCAUGCCGACCACACGAGUGGCGUCGGACAAGCCUCCCCGGCACCGGACCUCGGCGGCACCGCAAGCACAACAAGUGCCUCGGCGCCGGUCAUUAUCCCCGGGGCAUAAAAAAGCCCAUAAGACGGGGACCUCCGUGCCGAAGACGCCGGCUCCCCCAGUGCCGGGGGUAGAGCCGCGUCCACCUGUGGAGCACCGGAAACAGGUGCCUCCAGCACCGUCGACUCCGGCGCCAAGGCCAUCGAGUCCGGUGCAGAUAGCGUCUCCACCGAGACCGGCAGUGAUACAGUGCCUCCCGUCGACUCCAGAGACCUUCGCGGCGGCGAGAGACUUAAUAGCUCUCACGGAGCCGGCACCGCAGGCACCGUUGACUCGUCCGGUCCAGUCUAGGGGGAAACCUGCCUUGAUGCGCCCUCCAUCGCAAGGGCUGGAACCACAGCACCGGUCCAGGUCCCGAAGCAGGUCCCCACGCCGCUCGCAGUCCCGGCGCCGAAUAUCACCUCGGCACCGGUCGUACUCGCGGCCAAGAUCUUCGUCGCGGCACCGCUCUACGUCUCGGCACCGCUAUGAUCGUUGGCACCGAUCAACAUCGAGACGUAGUUCUCGGCACCGCUAUGGUCGACGCUCGACGUCGAGAGGCCGCUCCCGGCACCGGGCCUACUCCAGGUCAUCGUCGAGGUCCAGAUCCGACUCCCGGCACCGACGAGGUCAUCGGCACCGGUCGCGGUCCCGGCACCGAUCGCCGGCACCGCGUAGAGAUAGAACAUCUCCGGACCGGCACCGUGCGGCACCGCAGCCCACGGGAUUUGUCUCGACGCUCUCGGCACCGCCAUGGCCAUCGAGAUCGGUGUCUCGCUCCUCUGAGGACCUAUCGAGAUCGGCAUACCCGCCUCAGGGGCAAGCCGAGGAACAGGACUUGGGCCAUUGGCAGGAGAUAACAGAGGACCAUACUCAUGGCCCAUCUCACUGGUCGUUCUGGACCCCGUGGGCGUACCAUCAGGCACAAGGGGCUCCAAUAGCUUCGACCUCUCGCUCGGGUCACUCCGAUAGAAGGGCCCCAGAGUCCACCAUCUCUCGGCCUCCGCCAGGGGGCAUGGAGGCUUCCGUGUCCGCACCACCCGACACCAUGGACCCAAGUGCAGGUGAUGCCCCGGC